GAUCCUGGCUCAGAAUCAACGCUGGCGGCGCGCUUAACACAUGCAAGUCGCACGAGAAAGGGGAGCAAUCCCUGAGUACAGUGGCGCACGGGUGAGUAACACGUGGGUAAUCCACCCUUUAGUGGGGAAUAACCCUGGGAAACCGGGGCUAAUACCGCAUAAGCCUGAGAAGGGAAAGCAGCAAUGCGCUGAAGGAGGAGCUCGCGGCCGAUUAGCUAGUUGGUGGGGUAACGGCUCACCAAGGCGACGAUCGGUAGCCGGCCUGAGAGGGCACACGGCCACACUGGCACUGAAACACGGGCCAGACUCCUACGGGAGGCAGCAGUGGGGAAUCUUGCACAAUGGGGGAAACCCUGAUGCAGCGACGCCGCGUGAGCGAUGAAGCCCUUCGGGGUGUAAAGCUCUUUCGACGGGAACGAUAAUGACGGUACCCGGAGAAGAAGCUGCGGCUAACUACGUGCCAGCAGCCGCGGUAAUACGUAGGCAGCAAGCGUUGUUCGGAAUUACUGGGCGUAAAGAGUGUGUAGGCGGUGCUCUAAGUUCGGUGUGAAAUCUCCCGGCUCAACUGGGAGGGUGCGCCGGAAACUGGAGUGCUGGAGCGCGGGAGAGGAAAGCGGAAUUCCUGGUGUAGCGGUGAAAUGCGUAGAUAUCAGGAGGAACACCGGCGGUGUAGACGGCUUUCUGGACCGU
This 690-nucleotide ribosomal RNA is filed under the name uncultured Acidobacteriota bacterium. RNAcentral's name for it is "bacterial SSU rRNA". It matches the Rfam family "Bacterial small subunit ribosomal RNA", at positions 15 to 737 of the family's 1533-position model. The record is from RNAcentral. Lineage: Bacteria; Pseudomonadati; Acidobacteriota.